Molecule: ribosomal RNA, 253 nt
Filed under: uncultured bacterium
Lineage: Bacteria
Description: partial 16S ribosomal RNA
Rfam family: Bacterial small subunit ribosomal RNA
Source: RNAcentral
UACGUAGGGUGCAAGCGUUGUCCGGAAUUAUUGGGCGUAAAGAGCUCGUAGGCGGUUUGUUGCGUCGGCUGUGAAAUCCCGAGGCUCAACCUCGGGUCUGCAGUCGAUACGAGCAAACUAGAGUGUUGCAGGGGAGACUGGAAUUCCUGGUGUAGCGGUGAAAUGCGCAGAUAUCGGGAGGAACACCAGUAGCGAAGGCGGUUCUCUGGGCCGGUACUGACGCUGAGGAGCGAAAGCGUGGGGAGCAAACAGG